AUUCCAUGAUGAAGGCAUUUUCAUAAUAACUUCUUAAAUCAUUCUCAUGCCGCAUACGAGGAAUUAUCAUCAGAUUGUUGAAAUGUAGUAAUUUCAUUUCUGAGUUA
Small nucleolar RNA from Gossypium raimondii (Peruvian cotton), 107 nucleotides. It matches the Rfam family "Plant small nucleolar RNA R71". From Rfam's summary of the family: R71 is a member of the C/D box family of snoRNAs containing the C (UGAUGA) and D (CUGA) box motifs. Multiple nearly identical copies of this snoRNA have been identified in Arabidopsis, and it is thought to function as a 2'-O-ribose methylation guide for 18S ribosomal RNA. Lineage: Eukaryota; Viridiplantae; Streptophyta; Magnoliopsida; Malvales; Malvaceae. The record is from Rfam.